This 460-nucleotide ribosomal RNA is filed under the name uncultured bacterium. RNAcentral describes it as "partial 16S ribosomal RNA". It matches the Rfam family "Bacterial small subunit ribosomal RNA", at positions 338 to 795 of the family's 1533-position model. The record is from RNAcentral.
CCUACGGGGGGCAGCAGUGAGGAAUAUUGGACAAUGGACGAGAGUCUGAACCAGCCAAGUAGCGUGAAGGAUGACUGCCCUCUGGGUUGUAAACUUCUUUUAUAUGGAAAUAAAAUGUUCCACGUGUGGGAUUUUGUAUGUCCCAUAUGAAUACGGAUGGGUUAACUACGUGCCAGCAGCCGCGGUAAUACGGAGGAUCCGAGCGUUAUCCGGAUUUAUUGGGUUUAAAGGGAGCGUAGGUGGAUUGAUAAGUCAGUUGUGAAAGUUUGCGGCUCAACCGUAAAAUUGCAGUUGAAACUGGCAGUCUUGAGUACAGUAGAGGUGGGCGGAAUUCGUGGUGUAGCGGUGAAAUGCUUAGAUAUCACGAAGAACUCCGAUUGCGAAGGCAGUUCACUGGACUGCAACUGACACUGAGGCUCGAAAGUGUGGGUAUCAAACAGGAUUAGAUACCCGGGUAGUC